CUUUCUUCGACGAGUAACAUUAUGAUUUAGGGUUACGGUCUGCACUCUACCUGCCGUUGGUGUUUAUUGGGGCUCCACUCCCUUAACUGUUUCCACUGAGAUUUUGAGCUAUUUACUCAGCUAGGCAUGGAAGAGCAGGUUUAGGAUGAAGAAUACCUCGGUGAAGAACAUGCGAGCUAGGUGGCUUCUGAGUCAGAAUGCCUCUAGGGUUAAGGAAGAUGACAUGGGUUCACGCUAUCGUUAAAGAUUUCCACUUCGAAUGUUUAAGUGUUGUUUGGCCUCCAAGGCCCUAUCUAUUUAAGACUUGACCAUAAUGGGCAUAAUUUGUGUAAGACAAUAUGUAGUGGAUGUAAGACUCUUUAUUAUUCAGUUAUAUGUGUUUAGUGAUCAUUGAUCCUGGGAUCA
Hordeum vulgare subsp. vulgare (domesticated barley) is the source of this 405-nucleotide long non-coding RNA. RefSeq lists it as uncharacterized. NCBI's taxonomy places the organism in Eukaryota, Viridiplantae, Streptophyta, Magnoliopsida, Poales, Poaceae. The record is from RefSeq and is a predicted model, not a curated record. The transcript is spliced from 2 exons.